AUUGAACGCUGGCGGCAGGCUUAACACAUGCAAGUCGAGCGGGGGAAGGUAGCUUGCUACCGGACCUAGCGGCGGACGGGUGAGUAAUGCUUAGGAAUCUGCCUAUUAGUGGGGGACAACAUCUCGAAAGGGAUGCUAAUACCGCAUACGUCCUACGGGAGAAAGCAGGGGAUCUUCGGCCCUUGCGCUAAUAGAUGAGCCUAAGUCGGAUUAGCUAGUUGGUGGGGUAAAGGCCUACCAAGGCGACGAACUGUAGCGGGUCUGAGAGGAUGAUCCGCCACACUGGGACUGAGACACGGCCCAGACUCCUACGGGAGGCAGCAGUGGGGAAUAUUGGACAAUGGGGGGAACCCUGAUCCAGCCAUGCCGCGUGUGUGAAGAAGGCCUUAUGGUUGUAAAGCACUUUAAGCGAGGAGGAGGCUACUCUAGUUAAUACCUAGGGAUAGUGGACGUUACUCGCAGAAUAAGCACCGGCUAACUCUGUGCCAGCCGCCGCCGUAA
Molecule: ribosomal RNA, 501 nt
Filed under: uncultured bacterium
Lineage: Bacteria
Description: partial 16S ribosomal RNA
Rfam family: Bacterial small subunit ribosomal RNA
Source: RNAcentral